AUGCAUAUGAUGAUCUACUGGAUUCCCCUUCAUGACAUUGUGGGUGAUGAAGCCCGAGUUUCUGAUGCU
Small nucleolar RNA from Pistacia vera, 69 nucleotides. RefSeq annotates it as small nucleolar RNA snoR60. The transcript has a single exon. Lineage: Eukaryota; Viridiplantae; Streptophyta; Magnoliopsida; Sapindales; Anacardiaceae. The record is from RefSeq and is a predicted model, not a curated record.